Molecule: non-coding RNA, 265 nt
Organism: Pelobates cultripes (western spadefoot toad)
Lineage: Eukaryota; Metazoa; Chordata; Amphibia; Anura; Pelobatidae
Source: the annotation of a GenBank genome assembly
CGUUUCUAUGGUGCAGAAAUUAAACUCUUAAACUUGGUAUAAUGACACUAAUUGCUCAUGUGAGCAGAACCCCUGUCAUACCUUCCUGUAUACCUACAGUUAUCAUUUAUUUGCAUGUUUUUAACAUUGCAGGGGACAAAAAUUAGAUCCCGCGGGAGGCAAUAGUACCUUUUGAUCAACCCCUCUGUAGAAUGUGUUUAUGCUUUAUAACCUGCCCCUCCUCCCCCCACCAAUUACCAAUGAUAAUUAUCUGACUACAUUAUCU